RNAcentral lists this long non-coding RNA (3596 nucleotides) under Triticum aestivum (bread wheat). RNAcentral describes it as "long non-coding RNA (TAES_LNC022548)". The record is from RNAcentral. Lineage: Eukaryota; Viridiplantae; Streptophyta; Magnoliopsida; Poales; Poaceae.
CUAAAUUUUCAUCCUAAAAUUAAAUUCUUUUAUCUGACAAGAAAACAACAGAAUUUGAUAAGCAAUACACUUCAUCUCCUGGUCUUACAUUAAGAUCAACAAAGACUAGAGCAGUCGCAGUUGCAUAGUUUCAGGGGAAAUGGCAAAACAGUUGAACAUCAGUUAACAUUGCAUAUAUAUUCAGUUCUCCUCACGGGCUUGUCUUUAUAAGUAGCUAGCAACCUUCUUGUUUACCAGGCCUGGAAAAUCAGACCAACCACCAAACCAAUCUAUCAGUGGCACAAGAGACAUCCAUGAUUCAUCUCGAUCAGGAGUGGGCAAACAACAACCAAGCAGAUUAGCAGAGUACUUGAUGAGAGUAGACGCUGUAAAAUGCCGUUCGGCUUCCUUGCUGAACUUAAUAUCGGCAUUGUUGUUCCCAAACUGCUUGAUUAGGGAUUAUUUUUUCGUCUCCACAAGCUCUUAGACCAGAUUAUCCGAAAUCAUCGCCAUUUAUCCUACCUAACCUAAAAAUAUCAUAUCAACCAAUGAAUUUGAAGCCUGGAAGAAAAAGGAAACACAGUAUAUAAUAAGUGUAAGUAUUCUGGAGUUUCUAUCUCAGCAUAACCGAGAGCUUCUGCAUAACGGCGACAUAUCAGGCUCUUUCUGGUGACCGCCCUGAACUGUAUGUCGGACGACGACGGCGGCGUUCAGAGUUAUGAUGACCGUGAUGGACCGCAAACCGUCUUGGGUGACAUGAGGAGAAGGUGCGCCUGCGGCCAGAAGCAAAUAAGUAAGUCGAUGGCCGUGCCUCAGCAGCGCGGACCCACGACGCGUCAGAACCAUGACCUCAUCUUCCACUGUCGGCAAUUAGGCCAGCGCCGCCAUUGUCUGCUCCUCCCUCUCUCUCCCACCUCUCUCUUUCUCUCUCCCUCUCUUUCACGGCGGGCGCAAGGGACGGGAGAUAUGCCUCACCUAGAUCCGCGCGCGGCAACGGAUGGAGAGGAGGCGGGGCGACGAGCACAGCCGCCGGCGGCGGCAACUUUUCAUGGAGAGAGAUGGGAUCGGGAGCGAGUUGGGGAGAGAGAGGAGAAACGGAGACGUGUGUGUGCGUGUGUAGCGACAGUUUUCUCUCUGUGUGUGUGUUUGGUCGUGGAUGGGGCCACGUUGUACCGAUCCACACGGGGUGGGCUGCUUUUCUUAGGGCAUGUACAAUGGUUGAUAAGACAGUCUUAUCUUAAGUCUUGCAUGUUAUUUAGAGAUAACAAAAAAGUAUGUCUACAAUGAGUUAUAUCUUAGCCUUAUCUUCAAUAACUAGUCAUUCCUUAAAACAUGGUGAGACAAAUUGUACUAAGAGGUCAUCUCUUGUCUUCUCUUAAAUAAGAGAAGACAAGCCUUUUCUUGUGAGUUGUCUCUCCUCCACCUCAUCAUUUACCCUAUGUGGCACUCCUAAGAUAGCACCAUUGUACAUGCCCUUACCGGCGCGUGGAAGGGAGAGUGCCGAUCGUACAUGGGAAACAGCAGGUGGAACCAUCACGACGUUCGAUUCUGCUUUAAAACAGCAGGUGAAAUACAAAGCCCACCAAGCUUAGCCCAUUUUCCAUGUGAAAAUUUCAUGUGAAGCAGAAAACUACAGCAUAUGAAACAACACACGAAUCUGAGGUUACCACCUUAGACCAUCUAGUAUUCCUUAGAAUAUUGUACUGGAAAUUGUUGUCUAAAUAUUGAUCACUGCAUGAUCCAAACCUUUGCCUACAAUGCUAUUAUAAAACAUAGUAUAUAUGUGAUUUUUUACAAAGAGAUAACUAUAGUUAACAGGGACAUGACAAGAGGAUAACAGCCGACAUUUGUUCUUACCAGCACAAGAAAAAAAAGGCAAAAGGCAAGGCAAGCUUUUAACCUCGCUGGGUUAGCGAUUGAGUAGGGUAGUCAGAAUACAAUAUAUAGAAAAGUGCACUGAUGUUAAGUUUUCAUCAUCGCCUCUAGGGUAGUUUAAAAGUUCAAAAAUAUAGAGCCAUUGACUGUACUACACAGAGUGAUGGUCCACAGGUUGCAAACGGAAAGGAAGUAUAUACUGAGAAGUUCCUACAUAAAGGAAAAGUUUGCAGGAAAUAGCAAACAUGUGAGAGGAGUUUAUCCACUUAUGUUGUGGUGCAUAAAUUAUUAUCCAAUCAAAAUUGCUUCGGUGUCUAGUUUGAGUGGUACCACUACCAAGUAGUUCUCUUUAAGCAUGCAACCAAAAGUAUCUCAUCCCUUUCAUAGUUGUACUAUAACAUUAAAGGAUCAUGAUUUAGUGGCUUGACCGCUUGAUUCGUUAAAUGCUAAAUUUUCAUCCUAAAAUUAAAUUCUUUCAUCUGAUAAGAAAACAACAAAAUUUGAUAAGCAAUACACUUCAUCUCCUGGUCUUACAUUCAGGGGCGGAGCCAGGAUUUGACCAUAGUUGGGCGAAGAAGACAAUGAACAUUUUUUUUCAUAUAAUUAAUGACCAUACAAAGAGAAACACAUGAUUAAUUUGUAUGUUGCAACUAUAAAAAUGUAGUUUUUUCAUUAGUUUAAUGUGGCUCUUAUGGGUAAAACCCAUAGAACAAAGUCGACAAUCUUAUAGGGUGCGCUUUCGAUUCUAGCUGGUUGUGUAAAUUUUACUUGAGCCUGAAUAUUUGAUCGGUAGUUUGUACAUCAACUAAUCGGCCUGAAAAACAGAAACUAGCAUCUAGCAGUUUGUUAAUAAUAAAAAGCUGCAAUAGGCUAGACAUGAGCCUCUAGCCGAUGAUACACCUAGCUCUUAUAUCUGGCGUGAGCCAGUGAAAUUUGAAACUUAGAUGAUAGAAUCAUAAUGAGCGAAUGCCUAAUUUAGUGUACCAUUUUUUAGAAGAAAACAAGAAAUUGACGCCCUUAAUUAACUUCAUCUGAACAAGAAGUUUCUGGCCUUCUCGAGCCAGAUGCGGAUCAAUUCAUUAGUAUUGUUGCACAGUAUAUAAAUCAAUCAAGGAAUCAAGGAACUCACCGCAGGAGUAUGCUGUCGUCGCUGCCGGCGCUGAUCGGUUGUGCGGAUGCCCUAGUUGAACUUGCAGCCACGCGUAUUGCGUCUGAGCCGAAACAAUCGAUAGAGGAUGCCCUGGUGGCCUCGUCAGCUUCCGAAACUACCUGGUAGUUUGUUUGUUUCGUGUAGUGUGGGCUGACUAGCUAGUACAUGGGCUUUAACAUGCAAAGUUCCUGGGCUUCAAGCCUUAAGCGCACACUUAGGGGGGGCCAAUUAAUCCUAAAUCUGUCUGACGUAGCACCUAAUCUACCUGACGUAGCCUACGCAACUUAGGUACGACGCAGCGGUUGGGGGGGGGGAGGCGUGGCCCCCGCUCGUCCCCCCUUAGCUCCGCCCCUGCUUACAUUAAGAUCAACAAAGACUGGAGCAGUCGCAGUUGCAUAGUUUCAGGGGAAAUGGCAAAACAGUUGAACAUGAGUUAACAUUACAUAUAUAUAUCUAGUUCUCCUGACGGGCUUGUCUUUAUAAGCAGCUAGCAACCUUCUUGUUUACCAGGCCUGAAAAAUCAGACCAACCACCAAACCAAUCUAUUAGUGGCACAAGAGACAUCCAUGAUUCAUCUCGAUCAGGAGAGGGC